Long non-coding RNA from Cygnus olor (mute swan), 2059 nucleotides. RefSeq lists it as uncharacterized. The transcript is spliced from 4 exons. The record is from RefSeq and is a predicted model, not a curated record. NCBI's taxonomy places the organism in Eukaryota, Metazoa, Chordata, Aves, Anseriformes, Anatidae.
GGCUUUAAGUUUGGAGUGAUCUUGGUUGCUUCUGGAUUUGUCACACAGGUGGGCUGCUGCUGGCUGGUUGUGGUUGUUUUAUGUCCGGGUAUAACUUGUCUUUGCUCAGAUAUGCGCUGUUAAUGUGAUCCAACCAGAGAAAACCAUGCAGGUGUUUUUUGAUUGAAAAGUAUUCAUCUUGAGAUAAUAGUUUGAAACUUGUUCAUCUGUGCAGAAAGCUACAGCUAAUGAGACUUCGAAUUUGAAGUGCCUGUAAAAGAGAAUUUGGACUUUCAUUUUGAAAAUGUGAUUACUCAACCUUUAAUAAGACAUAUUCAGCAGUCUUGAGGAACUCUUUGGAACCUUUCAAGGAGCCUACAAUUCAGCUCUCUUUGGCAGUGUUUCACUUGAAGUAAUAUGGGAAGAAAAAUCUUUGUAAUACAAGACUUGGUUGCUGAAAUUUCCUUACACAGUGUUGUACAGUGACAAGGUGAUGUGUCCAGGCCCAGAAUAUCUACAUGGAAUAAUUUGGUAUGUAGUUUAGCAUUAAUCUUUUAAUCCUCCAUUUUCCUCUCUAAACUACGUGCUUUGUCAGGUGAAGUUUAUUGAUAAGAAAUUCCAUCAGAGGGCUGAUUUAUGUGCUUAAUUUGUUUUUUAGAAUUAGAUCUAUGUUCCAACUGUGUAGCAGAUACCUGUUGCAGAUACACGCACAUCCCAGAUUUCUGGUUCUCACCACUAGCUCCAGAGAGAGGUUGGUUGUUGAGCUCCAUGGCUUUAGCUUACAGGAGGAAAGGUUGGGGAAGAUGAGGGGAUCUUGGCCUUUACCAAUACCUGUACUUUACAGGUACUUGUCUGCACUCAGAACUUUAAGUACUUUGAAUUCUCAGAGGUAAUUGUGGAUGUAGUUACUGUGCAGGGAGAAAUAUUCUUACAGAUCUCUUAGGUUUCUGCUAUUUAUUGGAGGUGGAGGAUACCUUCUCUGGCUUUGUGUUCACACUGCUUUGACAAGCUAGAUUGAGCACAGGAAGAAUGAGUGAGUGUAUCUAAAUCAGCUGCAGUACCUGGAAGAGCUCUGCUGCAGGAGUGUACCUUGCUUCCUGCAGGAGGUGUUAUCCAUAGGUAUGAAUCACCUGCUGCCUUGCCUUUUGAGAAUUUGUUUGUUCUGUCAGUGGAGUUAAGGUUUAGGUCAGGACAGAGCCAAUGGCUUCGCGAGUCUGUUUAUAUCCCUGAAGACACACACACACAUUAUGGCUGUGCCUCAGAGCAACAAAUCUUAACAAAUCAAUGGAUCCACUCCUUGAUGCCACCCGCUGAGGGAGCCACCUGUCGCAGGACCGCGGAUUCAGAUGCGGCCAGCAGAGAGGUCUGCUCAGAGCUUGCAAAUUUGCUGUUGAAUUUCUGAAACCUGCUGGCCUGGUGUGUUUUCCCCAGUGUUGAGCAAGCACUAAUGUGAUUAGUAUCUGGCAUUUCUUUGUCUAUUUGACAUCACCAUAGUAUUUCUAAAAGAGUAGGUUUUGCCCAUUGGAAAAAAAAAAAAAAAGAAAAAAAAAUAAUUUUUUUUAAACCAGAAAUGUACAGUCUGUUUUAUGUGGAAAUGUUAAUUAUUCCUUUUGAUAUAUUUCUCUCUGUGGCAUAUGGGUGUGAUACACUGUAGUUUAUGGUGGUUUAUUUUGCUACUUACAUCCAAGAUAACCAUAGGCGUAAGAGUAAGCUGUUAUGGCUUUUACUUACUUUCUUUUUAUUAAAUAAGUUAGCUGCUUGUUUUCAGAUUGGUUUUAGCUAUUUACGUUUUUUUCCUAAAAUGAUAUUUUGAUGCUGUCUGAUCCCUCUGCUGUUGCUCCUGAUGGUUUGGUAUUUAUUGGGAUGUAGGAAUCAUGGUGAGGAUAUUGAACUGCGUUGGUCUUUUUUUUCUUUCUUUCACAUGGUCAUUUAGAUUUAGCCAUCUGCUUGUCUAAUAGUGGGAAUGCUAAAGAAAGACAUUUUCUUUUCAGCUCACAUAUGAAUUGUACUUUCAGAUAGAGGUUAUUCACUUGCAAAUAUGAAGAUUGAGCUAUGAUUCUAUAGCAUUAUGUAUAAAAUC